RNAcentral lists this ribosomal RNA (368 nucleotides) under uncultured bacterium. Its description in RNAcentral is "bacterial SSU rRNA". It matches the Rfam family "Bacterial small subunit ribosomal RNA", at positions 434 to 793 of the family's 1533-position model. The record is from RNAcentral.
CAGCAGUGAGGAAGGUGGGUAUGUUAAUAGCAUACUCAUUUUGACGUUUAGCUGCAGAAGAAGCACCGGCUAACUCCGUGCCAGCAGCCGCGGUAAUACGGAGGGUGCGAGCGUUAAUCGGAAUUUACUGGGCGUAAAGCGCAUGCAGGUGGUUUGUUAAGUCAGAUGUGAAAGCCCGGGGCUCAACCUCGGAAUUGCAUUUGAAAACUGGCAAAACUAGAGUACUGUAGAGGGGGUAGAAUUUCAGGUGUAGCGGUGAAAUGCGUAGAGAUCUGAAGGAAUACCGGUGGCGAAGGCGGCCCCCUGGACAGAUACUGACACUCAGAUGCGAAAGCGUGGGGAGCAAACAGGAUUAGAUACCCUGGUAG